UACGUAGGGGGCUAGCGUUGUCCGGAAUCAUUGGGCGUAAAGGGCGCGUAGGCGGUCCGAUAAGUCCCGUGUGAAAUCCCUCGGCUCAACUGAGGAAUGGCACGGGAAACUGACGGGCUUGAGUUCGGGAGAGGGAAGCGGAAUUCCGGGUGUAGCGGUGAAAUGCGUAGAUAUCCGGAGGAACACCGGUGGCGAAGGCGGCUUCCUGGACCGACACUGACGCUGAGGCGCGAAAGCGUGGGGAGCGAACAGG
This 253-nucleotide ribosomal RNA is filed under the name uncultured bacterium. Its description in RNAcentral is "partial 16S ribosomal RNA". It matches the Rfam family "Bacterial small subunit ribosomal RNA", at positions 524 to 776 of the family's 1533-position model. The record is from RNAcentral.